Molecule: ribosomal RNA, 1638 nt
Filed under: Triticum aestivum (bread wheat)
Lineage: Eukaryota; Viridiplantae; Streptophyta; Magnoliopsida; Poales; Poaceae
Description: partial small subunit ribosomal RNA
Source: RNAcentral
UAUCUCCCUUCCCUCUCUCUGCUCUCACGUCUCUCUCUCCCUCGCCUCUCUCGCGCCGCCGUCAACAUGAGGAGCGCAACGCGCCGUCUCUGCCCCAUGUUUUUCCUCUGUCCUCACUUUCUCCAGCCCAAGCCACGACCACACCUCCGCGCCUGCCUUCUCCUCAUCGGGAACAGGCAGAGGAGGAGGAGCAUGGGCCGCAGAGACGACGAGGUGGCCGAGCUGCCCGUGGUGUCGUCGCCGUUCCUCACGACUCAGCGGGAGGUGUGCCGGCCGCAGGAGGAGUGCGCGCUGGGGAUGUGGCGGGCCAAGGGCCACUAGCCCGCGCCGCCCGCUCACCGUCAGAUCCGAGCGCAGCCUCUUCGACGACCUCCCAUGCACGCCAGCGCUGGCGACGGUGAGGACCUCGCACUCUGUUCCCCGGGGCCGUCCACUAUGCACCAUUAGUUCGACCAAGGAGCGACAGAGGCAGAGGCGCAGGGCGACCAGCGCCCCAUGCAGGCACUAGAUGCGGCGCUCCUCCAUCUCUCCUCCUUCUGCGUCUAUUGCAGGAGACGAACAUACGUUGCUGGUCGCCGGCUUGGCCUGCAAGAGGAUGCUCUCCUGCUCUAACUUGCUCACAUGUUAGUGUUUCAUCAAUGAAGAUGUAUAUUCAAGCCUAUGUCUUCAUAAACAGCAACUCGUCCUCCCUUCCCCUUGGGACCUGCUGGUUGUGGAGAAGUCUGAGAUUCUGACUCGGGCAGUGAUUCUGAAAGCGAAUCAGAGAAGGUUGGUAGUGCAGCAAGGCUUGCGAAGGUAACUGACGAUAGUUUACUGUCGAGUGAGUCCUUUAUAUUCUGGCGGAGUUACUGAGGAAGGAGGUAAAUGAAGCGCCAACUAUUACCAGCAAAAAUCAAUGUGGAGUUGCAGUUCCAUGUUGUCAUCAUCAUUCAGGGAUGGACGACGAGCAGCUGAGUUUGCUGCCAUUGGAUUCAUUAAACGGGAGGUCAAUAUGGUUGGCUUUUGCACUGUGGACUUUGCCAAGGGUUCCCCAGAUGCGAUUUUGCUUGAUAAAGCUUGCUUGGUCCUGUGGGAUGAAGCUCCAAUGGUGCGCUGUCACUGUUUCGAAGCUCUUGAUAGAAUUUUCAGAGAUAUACUUGCAGUAUAUGAUAGCUCAAGGUCACUCUUCCCUUUAAGAGGAAAGGUUGUUGUUGUUAGUGGCGAUUUUAAGCAAGUACUUCCUGUUAUGCAAGAAGGUGCUAAGACUGGAAUUAUUGGAGCUUCUCUGGUCAUGUCACCUUUAUGGAGGCAUAUCAAGCUCUACGUGAUGUCUGCAAGGAUUGAGAAGACAAUUGGUCUGAUUGCUUUCGGAAGAGGUGGCAGAAAGAAUAGAAACAAUGAUGCCUAUGUUGAUUCAAAGUAUAGUUAUUAAGCAAACCAUUACUGUUAUUAGUUCUUAGUUCCACCUAUAUGUUUGAGAAAUUCAAAUGAUGGAAUCAAUGGUCUAUAUUUCCUUUAAUUUGUGGAAUAUAUACUGUGUAAUCAAUAGUGGACUGGGUGGGUGCUGCCAUCGUGCUUUGUUGUUUUGUGUAACAGGCUGUAUCGAAUAUGAAUCGUGUUCUAUCAAGUUGGAUAUAAUGUCAUUGCAUUGUAAAUAAA